AUGACAACUAGCCAAAACGCUGCCAUUUUCAGUAGCGACUUACAAACGUUCAUUGUAACGAAAUAUGACCCUUUAUUAACCAUAGUAAAAGAGUUAAAUGAUAAGUUACAAAUUUCGGAAAAAGAAAAUUAUAGACUAGAAAAAAGACUGACAAGACUUGAAAGACAAAUGAUAAUAUUACUGAAAAAAUUAGAUGUGAGUGACAUAACUAUAGAUAUGGACGAUAAUGAAAUUACAAAAAUAACUGAAGAAGAAACUAAUACAACAAAAAAAAUCGAAAACAACGAGAAUUUAUCAACACCUUGGCUAUUUUCUUGCCAAUUAGGUACACCACUAUCAUCCUUACAAGUACUGUUAGAAUUUAAUGAAAAAGAUACCAUCGAAUUAAAUGUAAAAUUAUGGAGAAGGGAGGAAGACAUGUGGAUAAACUUUUUAGAAAAUAUAUCAAAAAAAAUUACUAGUAUUAAGAAUAGUAAUGUUACUGGUACUGAUGAUAAUAAUAAUACAAUAAAUAAGUUUUUACCAGAUUCAUAUGACUUAAUAAGCAUAAGAAGAUGCGUAAAAAAGUGUUUAUUAAAUUUAUGUACGGAUGAAAUAUUAAUUGUUUUAAGGAAUGUACCUGGAAAAACUCAGGCUAUUUAUAACACAGCAACUAUGACAUUAGUUGCAAUUCUUGCCUCGGCAGUUUUUGAGGCAUGGAAAAGAAUAGAAACGAUAGAUCCAAUGUCUCUAGGACGAACAGUGUUGGUUUUAGACGGGGAAGACGUGGGAUCCAGACUAAGAGCAGGCAACAAGAAAUUAAAAAUAGAGCCGUUAAAUUAAAUGUUCAUUAAAAAAAAAAAAAAAAAAAAAAAAAAAAAAAAAAAAAAAAAAAAAAAACAUUUUGAAAAUAUGCACAUGUAUGUACAAAUUUUUACAACAUAAUGAUUUAUAAAAAUACAAACCGAUGACGUUACAAGUAGUUGCCACAAACAGCUAUGUUAAAUCGCGUAUCUAUUAUUAUACGUGUAUGUAUGUACGUACUUAUUCGUUUCCUUGUUUUUGUUCUUAUUUUUGUUCUUAUUUUUGUUCCCGCUUAUGUUCCCAUUUAUGAUCCUAUUUCUGUUUUUAUUUUAUUUUUUUUGAUGUUAUAUACACUACACUUUUUGUUAUACUCCCUCUUAAUUUUAUAUGCUCUCUCAUAACAUAUGGUUUUUUUUUGAAAAAAAAAAAUAUAUUCAUAUAUGUGUUUAAAUAUGUAGAAGCUGUUUUAGAAGAAAACUGAUUUUUUUUUUGUUUUUGUGAUUUAGUUGUUUCGUUUAUUAAUUUAUUUGUUUGUUAAUUUUUGCUCUCGCAAUGCGUAUGUAUAUAUAUAUAUAUAUAUAUAUAUAUAUAUAUAUAUAUAUACACGUGUAUAUACAUAUAUGUAUACGCACAAACAUGCAUUUAAAAUAUUUUUUUUUUUUUUUUUUUUUUAUUGUUACAAAAUUUGUUUUUAUAAAAAUAUAUGUACAGUUCAUAUUUUUUUUCAUAAAUAACUUAUAUUAAUGUGAUAAGCAAGCACGUUAUAUAUAUAAAAAAAAAAAAAAAAAAAAAAAAAUCUGAUAUACGUACGUGUGUUAAAGCAAAUUUUUAAUAUUCCAUCCAUUCAAUGCUUUUACUCUAAUAUAUCUUAGGAACUAAACUAUAUUACUCAUGCUUUAUAUAUAUAUAUACACAUAGGUACUUACGACCAAAGUAGUCUUCGCAAAUUUAAUACUUCUCUUAUUCAUUAUUUAUAAUAUAUAACUACAAAAUUAAACUAAUUACGUUUUACUGUGUUAGACCGUGUUAGACCGUGUUAGACCGUGUUAGACCAUGUUAGACCGUGUUAGACCAUGUUAUACCAUGUUAGACCAUGUACAGUUAUACCCUGUCAUACUUGCUCAUGUUGCAGUUACUCUGCUGUUACGCACGUCAUAUUAUAUAUAAUUGAAAAUUGGAUAUACCCCACGACAACUUAUUAGGGUCAUUCACCUGAUUGGUCGUACCAAACUGUACAAUUAAUUUAUUGGACGUAUGUGGGAAAAUAACAUCAAUCAACGAAUAGAAUUUUGACUCGGGUAUUGAAUUACCACAUAUAUUAAUUGAGUUUUGUUUAUUUAGUUGUGAAUGUGUGUCUGUCCAUACAUAAAAAAAGUUUUGUUGUUGUUCACUAUUUUUAAUUUGUAAAUAAGCCGUUUCACCUUGCCAGUCAUCUAUAAAAUGAAAAUUUGUUUUAAUUUUAAUUUUGGUAUGGCUAGGUAAAUUAUCAAAUACUUUUAAAAUUGUUCCUUGGGAUAAAUAUCCAUAUCCACCUAACAAAUUUAUUCCUCCACAUACGGAUAUAUGAUUAUUAAAAUUAUUUGUACCUGUCCAACCUAUAGUAGUAGAACUAUCAGUAAAAGACUCAUGAAGAAGCAUGUUAAAUUGUUCAUUGUUUUUUAUUUUUAUACUAUUUUCUACGUUUAAUACUUUUACUGAUAUAUCAGUAUUUAAAAAAUUUAAAUUAUCAUGGCUAUCUAUACUUAUAAUUGGUUUUUUUUUUUUACUCAAAAUUAAUUCAUUUUGCUCAUUUAUACCUAGUUUAUAUUCGAUUUCUUUAUUUACAAAUAUUAACCCGUUUUCAGCAUUAUUUUUUGAUGAAAUUUUAAGAUUUGCAACUGUUAAGUUCCCUUUAACUUCAAGUUCGUUUUCACUGCUAGCCGUUUUAGCGUAAAAACAGAUAAUACUAACUAGCCAAAGUUUUAUCAACAUUUUGGCUAGCUAUGGAGAAAGGCAAAAAAAAAAAAAAUUUUUUUUUUUUAGCAUAUAAACUGUACAUAUAAACUGUACAUAUAAACUGUACAUAUAAANNNNNNNNNNCUGUACAUAUAAACUGUACAUAUAAACUGUACAUAUAAACUGUACAUGUAAACUGUACAUAUAAAACGUAUGUCUAAAAAAAAGAAAAAAAAUAUCACGCUAUUUUAAAAAGCACUAUUAUCACAAAAAAAAAAAAAAAUAAAUAAAAUAAAAUAAAAUAAAAUAAUAAUAAU
Molecule: long non-coding RNA, 3035 nt
Organism: Piliocolobus tephrosceles (Ugandan red Colobus)
Lineage: Eukaryota; Metazoa; Chordata; Mammalia; Primates; Cercopithecidae
Source: Ensembl